AGUGGCUGCAUGGAAUGCUGGGAGAGGGAGGCCUGUGCAGCUGUGACUGUCCAUGAAUUUUCUAUGAGGAAAGCUCAGCGGAGUCCAGCCAAAUUUGAGCUGCUUUGCUGUGGCCUUGGGUAUUCAGAUAUCCAGAAAUGAACAUGGGAAAUGUUUGAGCUUGAUGCAAGUGGAACCACAAGAGAAGACCCCCAACAUUGAUGUUGGGCUCAACUGGACAAAGUGGAGUGGACAAGGAAGAUGCCUCAGUGGCCAGUGAGCCAUUGUGGAAGCUCCUGGCCAGAACAAGAGAAGUGUCUCACUGUCAAGAUGCCCCAGGCAACAGAGAGGAACACUACGAGUGAGUAAAUCGUCUUCAGCCCAUGGAGGUCUGCAGCCCUAGAUGAGACCUACGGUAGCAGGGUCUCUUCCCCGCUGCUGGACAAGGCAAGACCCAGCCUGUGAUGAAAACCAUUGGCCUAAUCCUACUCGUAGGCAGGAUGCAGAGGCAGAAUAAAACCCAAGUUAUCCCUAUUUCUUACAGUAAAGACUUCCAUGCAAGUGUUUUUCUGUACUAUAUGGUACCUGGGGCUACUUGUGCUGCUACUGUUUUUUGUUUUGUGGAUGAUAGUUCAAAUUCCAAAAUGACUAUCUUUGUUUCCAUGGCACAACUCACAGUAACAGCGUGACAACUGCAAGGCUUGCAAAGGUAAAGCUAAUCUCCUCAUCUGUGUUUUUCAGUCCUCUCAGCCAUGUUUUAGUAUGUACUCUUGGGUCUUUAGUGGGGGUUGGGGGGGAGGUUUCAUUUAGAUAAUACUACAUUUCAUUCAUGUUUUGAGACUUGGAUAAUUUGGGGUGGUUUGCACACUGUAAAUAAUUGUGAACUGUAAAACCUGCAAGGCUUUCUAUAAGUACUAAAACAAUUAUUUGCUUCCCAAUUUAUCCACCUAGCUAACAGUGGCAUUAAAUUAUACUGAUGUUGUAUAAUCUAGUUUUUACUUCUGUAAACUGUACCAUGGAUGUAUAGUGUUGCAGUGUGAGAUCCUGUAUUUAGUGG
Molecule: non-coding RNA, 1036 nt
Organism: Lepisosteus oculatus (spotted gar)
Lineage: Eukaryota; Metazoa; Chordata; Actinopteri; Semionotiformes; Lepisosteidae
Source: RefSeq, a predicted model, not a curated record